GACUAACGCUGGCGGCGUGCUUACACAUGCAAGUCGAACGGAUAUACUGUUUUAGGAUAGUAUAUUAGUGGCGAACGGGUGAGUAACGCGUGAGCAACCUACCUUUUUGAGGGGGAUAACACCCGGAAACGGGUGCUAAUACCGCAUAAGACCACACUGCCGCAUGGCAGAGAGGUCAAAGGAGCAAUCCGCAGAAGGAGGGGCUCGCGUCCCAUUAGAUAGUUGGUGAGGUAACGGCUCACCAAGUCAGCGAUGGGUAGCCGAGCUGAGAGGCUGAACGGCCACACUGGAACUGAGACACGGUCCAGACUCCUACGGGAGGCAGCAGUGGGGAAUAUUGGGCAAUGGGGGAAACCCUGACCCAGCAACGCCGCGUGAAGGAAGAAGGUUUUCGGAUCGUAAACUUCUAUCCUAGGUGAAGAUAAUGACGGUAGCCUAGAAGGAAGCCCCGGCUAACUACGUGCCAGCAGCCGCGGUAAUACGUAGGGGGCAAGCGUUGUCCGGAAUGAUUGGGCGUAAAGGGCGCGUAGGCGGCCAACUAAGUCUGAAGUGAAAGUCCUGCUUUUAAGGUGGGAAUUGCUUUGGAAACUGGAUGGCUUGAGUGCAGGAGAGGUUAGUGGAAUUCCCGGUGUAGCGGUGAAAUGCGUAGAGAUCGGGAGGAACACCAGUGGCGAAGGCGACUAACUGGACUGUAACUGACGCUGAGGCGCGAAAGUGUGGGGAGCAAACAGGAUUAGAUACCCCUGGUAGUCCACACUGUAAACGAUGAAUGCUACGUGUAGGGGUAUCGACCCCUUCUGUGCCGGAGUAAACACAAUAAGCAUUCCGCCCUGGGGAGUCCGGCCGCAAGGUUG
RNAcentral lists this ribosomal RNA (854 nucleotides) under uncultured bacterium. Its description in RNAcentral is "bacterial SSU rRNA". It matches the Rfam family "Bacterial small subunit ribosomal RNA", at positions 28 to 896 of the family's 1533-position model. The record is from RNAcentral.